This 270-nucleotide ribosomal RNA is filed under the name uncultured bacterium. Its description in RNAcentral is "partial 16S ribosomal RNA". It matches the Rfam family "Bacterial small subunit ribosomal RNA", at positions 84 to 353 of the family's 1533-position model. The record is from RNAcentral.
UUUGAUGGCGACCGGCGCACGGGUGAGUAACACGUAUCCAACCUGCCGAUGACUCGGGGAUAGCCUUUCGAAAGAAAGAUUAAUACCCGAUGGCAUAGUUCUUCCGCAUGGUGGAACUAUUAGAGAAUUUCGGUCAUCGAUGGGGAUGCGUUCCAUUAGGUUGUUGGCGGGGUAACGGCCCACCAAGCCUUCGAUGGAUAGGGGUUCUGAGAGGAAGGUCCCCCACAUUGGAACUGAGACACGGUCCAAACUCCUACGGGAGGCAGCAUG